AACUGUACAUUUAAAAUCAUUUCUGUAGUUCAUUGGUAAAGAAGUGUCUCUGAAUGUGUAGAGCAUUGGGAACUACAAAAUAAAAAUUGCAGCGUUUUUUCUGAGCCUAAAGCCGAUUUCUGGUGUUAAUUUUGUGGUUAUCGUUAGCCAUUGAUGAUAGCUGUUUUCUUACUUUGUGAGAUGAAGAGUGAGAGAAUUCUACCUGAAUGGA
This is a small nucleolar RNA of Hippopotamus amphibius kiboko, 211 nucleotides long. RefSeq annotates it as small nucleolar RNA U3. NCBI's taxonomy places the organism in Eukaryota, Metazoa, Chordata, Mammalia, Artiodactyla, Hippopotamidae. The record is from RefSeq and is a predicted model, not a curated record. The transcript has a single exon.